AUAAGAGGUCCCACCUGCCCUGUGACUCUAAGUUUAACGGCCGCGGUAUUCUAACCGUGCGAAGGUAGCGCAAUCAAUUGCCUUUUAAAUGAAGGCCUGUAUGAAUGGUAUAACGAGGGUCUGACUGUCUCUUUUUUCUAGUCAGUUAAACUGAUCUGUCCGUGCAGAAGCGGACAUUAUUAUACAAGACGAGAAGACCCUAUGGAGCUUUAGACACUAGCCAACUGUGAAUGAGCGACUGAACUAUACAAGUCUUAAAUACCCACAGCCUCUGGUAAUGUAGUCUUAGGUUGGGGCGACCACGGGAGAAAAUAAAGCUCCCAAGCAGACCGGGAAAACCCUUAAGCCCAGAGUUGCAACUCUAAGCCGCAAAAAUUUUGACUGAAAUGAUCCGGUUGAAAAACCGAUUAACGAACCAAGUUACCCUAGGGAUAACAGCGCAAUCCUCUCCCAGAGUCCCUAUCGACGAGGGGGUUUACGACCUCGAUGUUGGAUCAGGACAUCCUAAUGGUGCAGCCGCUAUUAAGGGUUCGUUUGUUCAACGAUUAAAGUCCUACGUGAUCUGAGU
RNAcentral lists this ribosomal RNA (568 nucleotides) under Engraulis mordax (northern anchovy). RNAcentral describes it as "partial 16S ribosomal RNA". It matches the Rfam family "Bacterial large subunit ribosomal RNA", at positions 1845 to 2610 of the family's 2925-position model. The record is from RNAcentral. Lineage: Eukaryota; Metazoa; Chordata; Actinopteri; Clupeiformes; Engraulidae.